GAUGAACGCUGGCGGCGUGCCUAAUACAUGCAAGUCGAGCGAACGGACGAGAAGCUUGCUUCUCUGAUGUUAGCGGCGGACGGGUGAGUAACACGUGGAUAACCUACCUAUAAGACUGGGAUAACUUCGGGACACCGGAGCUAAUACCGGAUAAUAUUUUGAACCGCAUGGUUCAAAAGUGAAAGUCGGUCUUGCUGUCACUUCUAGAUGGAUCCGCGCUGCAUUAGCUAGUUGGUAAGGUAACGGCUUACCAAGGCAACGAUGCAUAGCCGACCUGAGAGGGUGAUCGGCCACACUGGAACUGAGACACGGUCCAGACUCCUGCGGGAGGCAGCAGUAGGGAAUCUUCCGCAAUGGGCGAAAGCCUGACGGAGCAACGCCGCGUGAGUGAUGAAGGUCUUCGGAUCGUAAAACUCUGUUAUUAGGGAAGAACAUAUGUGUAAGUAACUGUGCACAUCUUGACGGUACCUAAUCAGAAAGCCACGGCUAACUACGUG
Molecule: ribosomal RNA, 497 nt
Filed under: uncultured bacterium
Lineage: Bacteria
Description: partial 16S ribosomal RNA
Rfam family: Bacterial small subunit ribosomal RNA
Source: RNAcentral